AUUGAACGCUGGCGGCAGGCCUAACACAUGCAAGUCGAACGGUAACAGGAAGAAGCUUGCUUCUUUGCUGACGAGUGGCGGACGGGUGAGUAAUGUCUGGGAAACUGCCUGAUGGAGGGGGAUAACUACUGGAAACGGUAGCUAAUACCGCAUAACGUCGCAAGACCAAAGAGGGGGACCUUCGGGCCUCUUGCCAUCUUAUGUGCCCAGAUGGGAUUAGCUAGUAGGUGGGGUAACGGCUCACCUAGGCGACGAUCCCUAGCUGGUCUGAGAGGAUGACCAGCCACACUGGAACUGAGACACGGUCCAGACUCCUACGGGAGGCAGCAGUGGGGAAUAUUGCACAAUGGGCGCAAGCCUGAUGCAGCCAUGCCGCGUGUAUGAAGAAGGCCUUCGGGUUGUAAAGUACUUUCAGCGGGGAGGAAGGGAGUAAAGUUAAUACCUUUGCUCAUUGACGUUACCCGCAGAAGAAGCACCGGCUAACUCCGUG
This 490-nucleotide ribosomal RNA is filed under the name uncultured bacterium. Its description in RNAcentral is "partial 16S ribosomal RNA". It matches the Rfam family "Bacterial small subunit ribosomal RNA", at positions 30 to 507 of the family's 1533-position model. The record is from RNAcentral.